UCAAAGGCCACCGAUAACCGAUAUCGGAAAGUGGGUAGUCCGAUGUGUAAACAGGUCGAUUACUCUCAAAUUGAAUUUAGUUGGGUUUAUACAGCGUCUAUUCACAUGAACUGUUUAAUGUUAUAUUUUUGGAUUUUACUAUUUAAAUAGAUCAACAAAUUCAUUUCAGAAACCAUUGGAAGUUUUGUUGUUCACCUGUCACUGAUAUCAAUCAGAAAAUUGGAGAUCGAAUAGAAGUUGACGAUUAUUGAUAUACGUACUACAAAUGUGAAGUCUCUCAACCUACUACUUCGAAUAAGAUGCGACAGAGGCACACCACUCAACAAGCAACAUAGCUGAUACAAGCCAUUCUAAGUUCUCCAGAAGCUCAACUUACACCUACAACGGUGGAAUAGAGAAAAGAACAUCACUAGUUGAUACGCAACACAUUCGAAAAAGAAAUAGUGCCCAUGGGAUAUUAAGUCGUGAACUGCAGAUCACAAAAUGAGAUGAUUUCCAAAUCAAACAUGACUUGUUGACUAAAACUUAUAUUGGUAAAACAACAAUGGGUUCAUGGAACGUUAACAUUUACAUUUUGUCAAGUCAAACUGGUCAGUAGCAAAACUGCUUUUAAGAGUAUUGGAUAUUUCACAGCUGUUCUCGCGUUGCAUCUAUAUCGAAAUCGAUACAUCUAUGGACCAUUGAAAUAUGAAGCCGCAGCUUUCAAUCUUUUAUUAGAGGCCUUCAGAUCAACCUUCAUGUCAUUCUAAAUGAAAUUAUUAUCGUUCAGCACAUGCAUUCAUUGAAAGUUACGAUCGAGCACCACGAAUUUGAAGUAUGGACUGCGGGUCAAAAAUACUGGACUAAUCAAAAUAGGUUUGUGAGAGGCGAAAUGUUGAUUGAAUUUUAUCAAAUAAUUUCGAAUUGGGUGUAACGGCUACGUUCAAUGAUAACUAGUGAAGUUGUUUACGCACGCAGGAAUGGUUGUUAUCAAAGCGAUUUGUGGAUUUUAAACUCAAUCUGAAAGAUAACGGCAAUAAGGAAACGUGUAUUUACAUAAAAAUAAUGACAUUAUCCUCAUCGCUCAAUGUUCUGAAUGUUGAUAAAAUGAGUGUUUUUCAUAAGAGUUUGUAAUAUACUUUCUUGCUUUGGUGUUGUUUAAGACAUUGAUUUAAACAGUGCACAUUUUAUGUCGUGCUUUUUCAAUGAGCUUUUGCAAUGUUAGAAGACCUACACACUUUUAGUAGUUCUUCCUAAUUUGACUUGAAUUUCAAACUAGUUUAUAAUAAUGUCUAUGGGAUAUAAAACAGUGCACAUUUUGUGUCGUGCUUUUUCAAUGAGCUUUUGCAAUGUUAGAAGACCUACAUACUUUUAGUAGUUCUUCCUAAUUUGACUUGUGUUUCAAACUAGUUUAUAAUAAUGUCUAUGGGAUAUAAAACAGCGCUGUGUAGAAACCAAACGGGUUCCCAAAGAAAUGACUAUGACGUAACCAAGCAUCAUGGUCUUGGGAAACGCAAGGAGGCAGCGAGGAAAUAUUUAAUGGAAAAUCUGCACUCGCGAUUCAAUGACGUAAAACAUUCUGGUCACAUAUUCAUUGGUGAGGUAAGCAAACAUGAAACGAAACUUCCACGUGUGAUUUCUCACGGAACAGAGUGUCCAAAGUCAAUCUCACAUCAUAGUAGAGUUCCAAGUUCACCAGGCGUGGUUAGUAUGAAUGCAAAUGUAGAUGUAGACGAUGAAACAGAAAAUAAUGACCUCCUUCAAAUAAGAAACAAAAGUUCAACUUCGAUCAGAAAAACCGACAGUAAUAAUUUAAGCCUUCCAGAAAUAAUCAUGGCAUUCAAUUCUGAAGCCAGUAUGGCUGUUUCCGAAAGUCAUAAUUUCGUGAGGUCACCGACGGACUUUUCCGAGGAUGAUCGAGUGUUAGGUGCCCCUUAUGAGGAUUAUUUGAAGGUCAAGAAAUACGGUCGAUAUAAUCCAUGCAAAGGAAAAUACAGACCCGUCACACCUGGGUUAUUGGACACGCUGAAUAAGCAACGGAUGCCAUCUAAAGUUAAGACGGAGCAAUGGCUGAGGUCGACACAGUAUCUUCCCAAAGCCACUUAUUGCAAUAUUGAGUACCAGACACAUGUAUGUCUUGAUCACCCUAACUGGAUUUACACGGAUUCAUAGAUAUGAAGUGCAAUACAGAAAGGUGCUUAAGUAUAUACGUUUAUAAUCGUUAUAUAAUAAAUUGGUUCAUGCUGCCUUUUAAAAUAAAUUAUUGUUGUGUCCUGAAAAAAACAUGCUUAUUGAAUACAGGUAUAUUGAAACUAUUUAGACAUCAUGAGUAGUGAUAUUCUAUUGUAGUUUCUUAUUUUCAAGACCUGUGAUGUUUUAGCAUAAACAAAAACACGACGGCGCAUACGAAAACACUAGACUCACAAUGAGAAUACAUGUAACUGUUUACGAGUGCGUAACGGUUUGCUAAUGCAUUUAUGAGGAAAUUCCAUAUCUUGUAGUUUAGUCAAAACCUCACACAAUAUUAAAUACAUGUUAGCGUAACUGGAGAAAAUGUUAUUAAAGUAACAUAAGUACUCAAAAUCAACGAAUAUUUUGCAAACUAUUUCGUAAAAUAAAGUUAACCUAUAAAAAUCAGUGUUCCUUAUAGCAAUAGCCACAACUUCAACGCUAGAUAUUGUACGCUUAAAUUGAUUUAACGAGAUACAAAAUGUUCGUGUUUUUUGUGCGACAAUAUAUUCCAUGUGAAUUUCCCGCGACGAUAUCCGAACAAAUACGAGCGAACGCGAGACUGGCUUCGGCCAGCGUCGGAAGAACGACGUAUUCAUGAUAACUACGUCGUGCUCCCAAAGCUGCCCGAAGCCAAUCCAUUCGUAAAUGUUAGGAUAUCGUAGCCGGAAAUUCACAUGGAAUAUAUUGUUACACAAAAAACACUAGAGCAUUUUGUAUCGCAUUUUGUUUUAAAUCUAUGUUAACAGAGCACAUCUGGCGUUGAUUUUUCGGCAUUUGCUAUAAGAAACAUUGAAUGUUUACGUGUUCACAUUAUUUUUCGAAAUAUUUUAUGAAAUAUUCGUUGAUUUUGAGCAUUUAUGGGCUUUUAACUCUGUUACAUGCCUUGCUAUUCGUGUUUUGUGAAUCGAAUUGAAGAAAUAUACUUCACUUCUUUAACAGAACACAUUAUAAAUGGAAUAAAUACAGAGCACGGUAUUUCAUUUAGUAAAUAAUUUAAAAAUAGAACGCAUACCGUGUAGAUUUGAUGUAAGUUUCAAAAGACCAUUUUAACCAUAUAUUGCUUGUAUCAAUCAAAAUGAACUGUAUUUCGCUUAUAUAUGAAUUCAAAUACCGUGUCAUUCCCGACACACAAACACACACACUACUUAUUUUUGUAUCUAGAUAAAACGUUAGGGGUAUUAACAAAUAAGCAAGUAAUACAUAUUUAAUCAUGGCGGUAAUGUCUGAAAUAUAUGAUGUUGUGCAUACAUUUAUGUAUAGUUUUGUUACAUGUUUCUAUAUUAUAAAUAGAUUGACAUAUACAUUUGUGAUGAAAAUUAAUUAAAUAUACUAAUGUU
Molecule: long non-coding RNA, 3548 nt
Organism: Dreissena polymorpha
Lineage: Eukaryota; Metazoa; Mollusca; Bivalvia; Myida; Dreissenidae
Exons: 2
Source: RefSeq, a predicted model, not a curated record